UUCCGGUUGAUCCCGCCGGACCUGACUGCUAUCGGAUUGAUACUAAGCCAUGCGAGUCAUUGUAGCAAUACAAGGCAGACGGCUCAGUAACGCGUAGUCAACCUAACCUAUGGACGGGAAUAACCUCGGGAAACUGAGAAUAAUGCCCGAUAGAACACUAUACCUGGAAUGGUUUGUGUUCCAAAUGAUUUAUCGCCGUAGGAUGGGACUGCGGCCUAUCAGUUUGUUGGUGAGGUAAUGGCCCACCAAGACUAUUACAGGUACGGGCUCUGAGAGGAGUAGCCCGGAGAUGGGUACUGAGACACGGACCCAGGCCCUAUGGGGCGCAGCAGGCGAGAAAACUUUGCAAUGUGCGAAAGCACGACAAGGUUAAUCCGAGUGAUUUGUGCUAAACGAAUCUUUUGUUAGUCCUAGAAACACUAACGAAUAAGGGGUGGGCAAGUUCUGGUGUCAGCCGCCGCGGUAAAACCAGCACCUCAAGUGGUCAGGAUGAUUAUUGGGCCUAAAGCAUCCGUAGCCGGCUCUGUAAGUUUUCGGUUAAAUCUGUACGCUCAACGUACAGGCUGCCGGGAAUACUGCAGAGCUAGGGAGUGGGAGAGGUAGACGGUACUCGGUAGGAAGGGGUAAAAUCCUUUGAUCUAUUGAUGACCACCUGUGGCGAAGGCGGUCUACCAGAACACGUCCGACGGUGAGGGAUGAAAGCUGGGGGAGCAAACCGGAUUAGAUACCCGGGUAGUCCCAGCUGUAAACUAUGCAAACUCAGUGAUGCAUUGACUUGUGGUCAAUGCAGUGCUGCAGGGAAGCCGUUAAGUUUGCCGCCUGGGAAGUACGUACGCAAGUAUGAAACUUAAAGGAAUUGGCGGG
RNAcentral lists this ribosomal RNA (864 nucleotides) under uncultured archaeon. RNAcentral's name for it is "bacterial SSU rRNA". It matches the Rfam family "Archaeal small subunit ribosomal RNA", at positions 1 to 872 of the family's 1478-position model. The record is from RNAcentral.